Molecule: long non-coding RNA, 1851 nt
Organism: Triticum dicoccoides
Lineage: Eukaryota; Viridiplantae; Streptophyta; Magnoliopsida; Poales; Poaceae
Exons: 3
Source: RefSeq, a predicted model, not a curated record
CUUAUCCCCUCCCUCUCCUCUGUCCACGGCGACACGGGUCGACGCGGCAGCGUGGUGCCGGAGACAGGGGAUCGUGGAUCCGGCGGCGGCGUCGUGCCGGAGACAGGGGAUCUUGGAUCCGGCGAGCUGACGGAGCCGAGCGGCUUAGGAUCUGCAGACGCGGCGAGGGAGGAGCAGGACAUCGCCUAUUGUGGGAGCGCGUCACCCCCAUGGUGAGGGAGACUGACAGCUCGCGCGACCCUCACGUAGCAGGAAGCGCCGCUGCGACGGGAGGAGGUAAGCGGUUCAGCGCGGAAGAGCUCGCGCGACUGCGGCAUGUGAGAGGCGAGUCCCCGUGGUGAGGGAGUUAACUGGUUCGGCAUCGGCAACCUGCAAGACUGCAAGUCGCAAGAUGUGCGUGUAAGUAAUUUGCCCCGUCCAACCAAUGGCAUGGGAUAACAAUCUAAUCACCACAGUCACUAAGAUGGGAGUUGAAGGCGCAUGGUGUGUUUGACAAGGUACAAGCGAGUAGACCUUUUUUGCUCCCUAUCUUUUGUUUUUUAAUGCAGCUCCCAUUUUUUUACUUGCACUUGUUUGUUCUGGUAGUUGCACAACUAGGAAUAUCAGUCUGGCACAGCAACCCAUGCUAGUUGCACAGAUGCACCUUUUUUCUCAAUCUCAAAGGUAGUGGAAGAGGGAACAAACAAACAAAUCAACAUGAGUUUGAAACCAACAAAUCAAAUUUUGGUGGCACUAUUUUUAUCAAACUAAACAUCGAAGUAGAUUCUCUCAGUUGCACACAUGGGUCUAAUCAGUUGCACAGAUGCACCUACAAGUUGCACAAAUAACACACAUGAUGGGCACUGUUUUUUGCUGUUAUAUUGCAUUUUUUCUAUUUUCAAGCUUUUCACACAAGGUCUAUUCCAGCUGCACACAAUAGACACAAAUCCGAAAGUACUUUUAUUCAAGUCAAAGCAUCCAAAUUACUUUUGUCAGUUGCACAAUUCUUUUUUAAGUUGCAUAGAAAGAAGCCAUAAGUUGCACACCACAAACCUAUCUAGUUUCAAUAUGUUGUCAGGUUUGAUGCCACAUAGUGUUUUUUCUGUUUUUCCAUAGUUUCACACAGGGGAUUCUUCCAAAUUUGGCCAAGAUGACAUACAACAUGGGGUCCCAUGUCUUCUCAUGAAGUUUUUUUUCAUGCAUCAACAAUCUUACAAGCAGUAACACAUCUUCUUUUUGUUUUGUUUUUGUCUACCAACCAGGAGCUGGAUGAACUAAAACAUUACUGCAUUAUAGAUAUGACUAGUAGACUAUAUGCAAUAAACCAGAACAUAUGACCUAUAUAUGUUACAUUUUCGGUACAACAUGAUGUUCAUUUAUUUCAUUUGUCUGUGUGUGAGUUGCACAGUUUGAAACAAAGUUGGUUGGAUUACCCGAUCGAAAUAGUUGGUCGCAACCAAAUCAAAAGUUCCACAAUAUGCAAUUCCAUAUUUGUGUGUUCCUGGGGUUUUAUGUUUGUUUUUGCACAAGUUUAGGUGAACUUUUUUUGGAGCAGUUCUGUAGUUGCAGUCAAUAUGAAGAAGGAUUGGAGAAGUUGAAUUCAAGGUGAAGAAGAAGAGGAACAUGCCACCUUGAUUCCUCCUUUUUUCAAGUUGAAGAUCUACAGCAGCCUGAUCUUCCCUGACGGCUCCUGACAUAGGGAAGGCUCCCAUGGCGUGUUUCUGGUUGCUUCUUUUGUGGGGAAGAAGAUGGUGAGUGAGGCAGCAGUAGAUGGGUUGGUGUGCACUGCUUGAUUGGUGAAACCAGGAAGGUGGAAGAGAAAUGGAGGGGGGCAGAAUCACGGGGGUUCAGGGCUGGAAUGGGACGCUAGGG